GGAAAAGAGAAUGGUUUGGACCUAUUAUAUGCCUACUGCUUGCAACUAUCCUUUGUAUUCUGUUAUCGCCAAUAAAGAAGCAAGAUGAACUUUUACUACUAAACAUGAAUCCCAGUUUAUUGAGACCUGGAACUAAUAGCCUAAGGUGGUGAAUUCUGACAAAUGAUGCAGCUGUAUGGACAUAUCUGGACAAGUUCUGGCUCCAGAGCUUCAGAUCACAGGAAGCUUGGGCUGAAGAAAACACAUCCCCAUCUGGAUUUGGAUAUGAUCAUCAGCCUGAAGAGUCUGGAUUAAGGUGGUCUGGACUGAUACCCGUAAACAAUCACUGAAAGUUACACCGCCAAAGAAAAAGGAAGGAAAAGAGCCAGCGCUUUGCCCAUGAACACACCAGGAAAGGGAAGCAACAGAGCAAUAAAGUGCAAAUGGAUAUCCGUGCUAAUCUCCGA
RNAcentral lists this long non-coding RNA (446 nucleotides) under Salvator merianae (Argentine black and white tegu). Its description in RNAcentral is "lncRNA (ENSSMRG00000023025.1)". The record is from RNAcentral. Lineage: Eukaryota; Metazoa; Chordata; Lepidosauria; Squamata; Teiidae.